GGUUUCUUACCAAUAUACAGGUUAGCAUUCCGCUAGGGAUGUAUGACAAUCUUCCUGUAGCUGUUUCAUUGUUGGCAAAACAAGGUUCAGACGCUUUCCUGCUCAAUGUUGUCGAGAGUCUUUAUGCUACCCUCAAAGAACAGGUUGAGAUCACUGAAAAAUAACUUGCUGGCUGAGAAUCUAAGAAUGUAAGCUUGACCUAACCAUCCAAAUGUUAAAUUUGGAACAAAAAAUGGUGAUAUGAAAAAAAUAAUUCUCGCUACAGAGAAACAGAAACACCAUCUGGAUUUAGUAUAAAAACAUAAAAAUAUAGUUCUAUUAUGUUCUAUUCUAUUAUAUUUUUGUUACUUUUCUUUGUUCUGUUGUGAUGAAGAAAAACACAGUAGUGAGCUCCAACUCUCAAGCAGAUAGGUGAGAACGCCAUUUUGAGCAAAGUUGAUCAAAACUGGAUUAAUUUGGAAGUGCAGCAUUUUUCAACUCGCUAUUCUGUAUAUUAUGCAUUUUAACAGUGUUGAAUGGAAAUGAUGAUGAUCUGAGAGAAAAGAAAAUAAUUAAGCAUAUAACAAUAUUACACCAUAAUCAUCUAUAAAUUAAUUACUAGACAAUCAAGCCUUCCAUAUUUAAGAGUUGGUAAUUAUGCAUGCAGAUCCAGAUAUUUCAUAACCUGUACACACCAGAGUUGUUUGCACUUGAAACAUAUCGUCACACCAGCUUUCUUAGCAGGGCUGACUUCGUACUGUCCUAAGGUUGAUUGAUACUCUGAAGUUCUUCACGCCCUCACCGAUGCCUUCUUUCUCAGCUUUCGAAUCUUCAUCUUUUAGGAAAGCACAAAUGACUUCAGAGUUGUAGGUUUUUUUUAUGGAUGCCUUAACAUCCGUGUAUGUUGAUCCUAGGCAUUCCAAUUUCCAACGAACCACGUGUUUGCUUGUUUCGAACCUGCCGUCCAUAGCAGAACUUGGGGAGGGUAUCUGUAAAAUUUUCUGAUUGAAUCUUGGUGAGGGUACCGUUUCCUCCAUGGCUUCUUCUCUAGAAAACUAAUCUGUUCAAAUAUUCAUUUCUGGAGACCAUGGCAAGUUGUGAACACAAAAAAUGACAUGAAAGCUAAGAUCUGAACACAGAUUCUUCUACAGGGAGAGCAAAGAAAACUCUUAACCGUUUUUUUAGAAGUUUAAAGGAAAAACACUUCAUAAUUGGGGAUAGACAUAUAUGACAUGUGAAUCAAUGAAGCAUCAUAAUGCAGAUAAUUUUGAUACCUGAAUCUUCUUAGCAGCUGUACUAUUUAGCAGCUAUAAGAUUCUUUCUUGUCUGACUCUACCAUGUAUUGGUAAGCUUUUUUCCAUGAUUUACAGUGAAGAAAUAUGGUCUAACCUCAGGAUUAAACUUAUAGCAGCUCAAGAAAUAUUUAGACACAAAUUUAAUGCAGAUAUUCAAAUAGAUUUCCCCCAAGACUGGAGCGAUUCACUUUCAUAGUACAUAAAGCGAAAUCAGAUAGAACAAUUAGGUCCAUUUGGUUAUUGAAAGCAUGGUCAUUGUACCUUAUGUAACUGACAGAUGGAAUCUCCAACUUGUAUGAUCAAAUCAUUUGCAGCUUUCAUGCGAACCGUCCUGCAGACUAAAAAAUAUCAGUUAUGGUUGCAUAAGAAAAUUUUAGCAGACUGCAGUUUUAAUUUUAGAAUAACAUUUCCACUGUCAAGACUUAUUAUGUUUAGUUUAGAUAAUCUUCAAAUAAUCUACAAAAUCAACCAACAUAAUCUACAGAAUCAACCAACAUAAUCUACAGAAUCUUUAAAGUAAAAUUCGGCUUGAAUUAGGCUCUUGGUGGGUAGAUUAUCAGGUUGACCUGUUCUAUAAAUAUGUUUUAAGAGUACAUCCCAUCUGGAAGUCUUAAACUUGACUUGUUUGAAACAUAUCGACAUGUAAAUGGCUCAAGAUUAACAAUUUCUACAUAUUAGAAACAAAAAGGAAAGAAAUUUCUAUGUUCUACGAUUGUUUAUUGUUUCCCAGUUCUCGCAAUUAUGUAAACAUUUGCUUUAAACUCUCACCGAUUAUCAUUGACAGCAUCUACUGUUAUGCAUACUAGCAUUUAAUGCAUUAGGAGAUCGGCUCGGGCAUAAUUAAGGGAUUAGAAACCAUUGGAGCUUACAUUGCAAGUGAAAGUUUAAUUACAGGUGAAACAAAUUUGCGUUUAUGCAUUCCACAAACAUCUGGUUAGUUUAUUAUUUCAAGCUGGGAAUUGCAGGAGGAAAUGAAGUACAGAGACCCGAUAGACAUCUGAAGCUGGAAAGCUUAUAAAAGCCGUCCAAGACAAAAUAGUGACAAGUUUCAAUGCAGGCUUCGAUCAAGUAAAACCAUGCACGUCGCCGGUACGAAAUUAUGCACAGAACUGCUACGAUUACCGACACCACAAUUAUGUAAAAUAUUCCAAAGCAUACAUAUUUUUAUUUUUAUAUAAUCUAGUUUAAAGGUUAACCCAAACUUGAACCCGGGCCUAACCCAAGUCGAGUCUCGAGUCGGGUUUUAAAAAUAUAAUAAUUAUUAUUUUUAUCUCUGUAUUAACAGGGGUCAAUGGUUCUAGCUUGUAACAUGGGUCUGGCCUCAAGUCGACCCCAAAAUCAAGUUUUAAAACUAUAAUAAUAAUCCAACAAUUGAAUAAAAAUUAUGAACAUUUUGAGUCACCAUUAAACCACUCAUAUCUGGCAUGACCAAACUCUCUCUUGAAUCUAGAUUUGUCUCAUCAGUCUAUAAAUAUAUUUAUUAGGUCAUUUAUGUAAUCUAUUUGUGACAGAUUUUCAUCUAAUUAUGACACCUGAUUGCUGAAAAUUACUCGUUAUAGUAAAUCCGACUACAUCACCAAGAUCACUUGCUAGUCGUUUAAACAAGUGGUAUCGGUUCGAGCCCUAUAAAUGCAGUAAAUUUUCUUAGGAGAUGUCCUUGUCUUGACGCAUUACAAAAUCUCCAAGAAGAAGUCCUCGGAAAUAGCUCGGGGAUAAUUUGAAGAACCAAAAAAAAAAUAUUUGCAUUCCAUUCAAAGAAGAGCAAGGUGGUCACUUAUUAUUUGCACAGUUAAAGGGAGGAGAGGUAAAGGGAAGUAGCAAUUGCACCCUCCGUACCCAUUCGAUGAUGGUUGCCAUCCUACUCACGACGCUAAUUUUGACUCAAAUAGCACUCUUCUUCCAAGUUCUCAUUGUACUAAUUAUCAGAGAAUAAUAUAAAUUAGAUUUUGAGAUUUUAUCUAAAAGUUUAAAUUAUUAGAUUAAGAUAAUUUUUUAAUAUGGUAUCAAAACCUUAAUAACCAAACGGUCAAGAGUUCGAAUCUCAUAAUCCCCAUUUAUUUAAUUAAAAUUAUUCACAAGGUAAUGUGGGCUUGUGCAAGUUUCAAGCCCAAAGAGUUUUCAUUUGAGCUGGGGGUAUGUUAGAGAAUAAUAUAAAUCAUAUCUUAGAACCUCACUGUGAUGUUUUGUAUUAAAAAGAUUGGAAAAUACAAUAAAACCCUUGGUGGCUUAAAAAGGGUAUAAAUGAUUGAGGGUUAGUGUGGUAAUUGAACAAUAGUUGAUAAAUAUAAAUAAGAAGAAAAAAAAAACAAGAAUGAUCUGAUUUUGAGAGAAAGAGAGCUACGGGAGAGAGGGAAAGAGGAAGAAGAAGAAAAGAAAGGAGAGAAGGAAAUGAAGGAGAAGAGAAGUAGAGGAAAUAAGUAAAAAUGUAAGAUUUAUGGUUUGAAGUGUAUAAUAUGUUAAAUUUCGGUUUUGAUUAAUUGUAGAGUUUUGAAGUUUGUAUUUUGAGUUAAUUGAUGAAUUAAUUUGAAGGUUAGGAGUUGAUUAUUGUGGGUAUUUGAUUAAUUAGUUGAUUUUGAGAGAUUGAAUUGAAGGAUAAUGAUUUUGAGUUAUGAUUUUGUUUAAAUGGUGAAAUUGUGUUAGAAAUCAGGGGAUAACAGUAGGUGAUCUGUUGAAAUUCUGGGUUUGAGGUUGAAGAUGACGAAAAUUCAGUUUGGUCCCUCAAUUUACGGAAAUUGCAGUUUAGUCCCCAAACCUUUGAAAUUUUGCAGAUUGGUCCCUGGGGCAUAAAUUGAGGUUCUGAACAGAACUGAGGAUGAUUUAAGGCCAAAAUUCCAGUAUAAUUAAUAUUCUCAGUUUGGUCCUCCAAUUUGACAAAAAGUAUAAUUUGACCCUAAAAUUUUGGUAAAGUUCCAGAAUGGUCCUUGGAGCAUAAUGAUAUAUCCUGGACAGAAUUGAGGAUUAAUUAUGGAUAAAUUUUAGUAUGGUUAUAUAUUUACAGUUCAGUCCUCAAAAUUUAGUAAAAUUACGUUUUGGUCCCUAUAUUGUCGUUUUAGUCCCUAAACUUAGGAGAUUAAACCCGGUUUAUUUUAUGCUUUGGGAUCUUUUGUUUGAUCUGUUUUUUAGUAUAUUUCAUAUAUUUAUUGUAGGUUCUCUUAACGAUCCUUAAUCGGAUUUUUGGGUCUUUCGUCUGACAUUCCUUUAGCUAAGUAUUUUCCGGGUGAGUGAAAUAAUCUUUAAUAUGCAUAUAAUAUAAAUAAAUGUGUAUGUUGAUUAUACAAUGAGUACGACUAGUAAGUUUCUUGAAUAUUUAUAUAUGUUGCUUUAUUUUUCGAGUACUCAUUUAUUCUUGAAUUUGCAUUCGCAAUCUGUCAAAAUAAAUUCUAUUUGAUAUGAUAUACGUUUAUGCCUUGAUAUGGGACUUGUCAGUAACUUCAUGCUAACGGAGAGUAGUUAGCCUGUGUGCACAUAGUAUUCUGUAUACCUAGCUGGUGAGAGAUGCAGCAGCCUGUGGCGAUUGAUCAUCCCACAGUGGUCACCGACGGGUGUCAUCUGGUCACCUUCGGGUGUCAUCUGAUCUCUGACAUGUAAUCCACUACGUUAUGAUAAUAUGUUACGUUAUGAUAAUAUGUUUAGUAAGUAUAUGUAUAUGUAUAUGUAUAUUAAGAUAAAUCAUCUUACAAAUUAUUAAUAUCUGAAUGUAUAUUAAAUGUUAUUCACUCACUGAGUUGGUUGAACUCACCCUCAUUUUUUAAUAUUAUUUCAGGUUCUUAGUUUCUGAUAGCAGUUGAACUUUGUUGAGUGUUUCCGCUUCUUCAGUUCUGGUCGGUAUGCCUUGCUUGUUCGCGAGGCUUUCCUUUCAGUUUUGAUUUGAUGUCUUAGACGCUCCACUGUUACCUUGAUUUAAUUAAAUUUGGAUUUUGACAAUGUAAUGAGUAUUAUGAAUUAUUAUUUUUGUUUUAAUAACUAUCUUUCGGUUUCAUCAGUAUUUGAAUAAUAUAAUAUUUCUGAAUAUUAUGAGCCGCUGCGUAUUUUUGAACAAAUUGUUCUUUUGAUAUGUCCGUUCUGAGGCUUAGCGUAGGUGAGGUGUCCUUUCGACACCGCCCCUACGUUGCCGGUCACGGAUCCGGGAUUCGGGUCGUGACACUCACCUAACAACUUAAGCUAUUGAAUUGAGAUGGUUUUUUGACACUAACUAACCUUUCAUGCUAAAUAUAAAAUUAAACAAUUUUCACCACUAAAGUCAAGUUAUUUUCCUCUUUUUCUUUAUGGACUUGGAUGCAUGCUUUUACUAAUGCAUUUUCCUGUUUUUUUUUUUCUCUCUUUUUGCUUCAAAGACUUGGAAAGUUAAUUUUCUAAUAACCAAGACAAAUUAAUUUGAAGAUACUAAUUAAAAAAAAUAAAAAAUUGAAGGCCAUCAAGAAAACAUUGGAUAUCAACACAUAUCACUAUUCAUCAAAAUAGAAUAAUUACUUUUUUUCAUUCAAACAAAAAACAAUUAACUUGUUCUUGGGGUAAUUUGAUCGUUUUUGACAAAACUCAUAAGUCAUUAUAAUAUUGAUUUGAGACAAUUUAGUAUUUUAACAUUUAACAAGCAUAGUGUAAAGAUCUUUAUACCCUUGAGAACAUACGAAAUAAAACUUACAACAAGGGGCAAUUGUGUAUUUUUAUUCUGGUAUUUUUUUAAUUAACAGUUGAACCAUGGAUGAUUUGGCAUUUUCAUUAAGUAAGAUAUUAAUUUAAAAAAGUUGACACCAAGUGAGCAACUAUUGCACCCUUUAAACAAUGUGUGCAACGUCGUCUCUUGUCCAGAUGCUGCUUUUGCAGGAUGCGUGUUUUUUCCAUCAGUGCCCCAUGUGUUGAUAGUGGUGGAGUGGUUGAGCUCCGCUGUUUUUUUUUUUUUUUUUUAACUCAUUUUUUUUUCUUUUUCAUCCUUACAAAAAUUUAAAAAGUGUUAUUUAUUUAUUGUAUUUAUUUUGAUCUUAUUUUUUUGAAUAUUGUUUUCAAUUUCAUUCCAACACAUUUGAUUUCAAAAUAGUUUUAUAUUAAAUUUAGAUUUUAUUUUAUUUAUUGUUAUUUCAUUUGUUUUGGAGCUCUUUUAUUGUAUUUUUUUUUUCAAUUUCAUUCUCUAAUAUUUUAUUGAUUUAUAAUUUCACUUUAUUAUUUUUUAGGAUUUUUCUUCUUUGGUCUCACACUCAUGACUAGGAUUACGGAUUUGAAGAUUAACACCGGUUGACUUUGAUCUUUUUUUCAUAUCCCUUUUAAAUUAUUAUUUUUUUCAAAUUCAUUCUUUAACAUUUAAUUUAUUGGGAAUUAGUCUUUAAUUUUUUUCUAUGAAGUUAUCACAAUCUUGUGAACCAAGUAACCGGGUUAAUGAGUUAACCGGGGUUAACAAUUUUUUUUUGUUGCUUAAAAAAACAUUAUUUUUACCCUAAAAUAUUGAGUUGUUUUAUAAUUGAGUUUCAUGGUUUUAUUUAGUUUAUUUUUAAUGGGGCUAUUUUAAUAUUACAACUAAGUGGCAUAUUUAACUUUCUAAUCUAGAUGAAUUUUUUAUUAAAAUAUUAUUAUUUUUAUUUAAAAAAUAAAAUUGGAAUAGAUAUUCUCUUUUGAGAUUUGUGCCUUGUACAUUCAUGUAUUUUAUAGCCUAACCCUCUUAACAACAUUUUUCUGCUUUUUUCAUGGUUAAUUUUUAGCCUGUUUUACAGUGUGUUUGUAAUUACUGUAGAGAUUUUUUUAAAAAUUUGUUUUAUUUAAAAAUAUAUUAGAAUAAUAUAUAUAUCAAAAUUUCUCUAAACAGCCUUGCAAGUUACAAGUUACAAGUUACAACUAUGUUUUUUUAACCUCGUAAAUGCUGACCUGUCAACAGCAUUCUUCUGCUUUAAACAACGAUUGGGAUAGAGUCCCGUUACAGUCACACACACACACACUAGCUAGAGCAGGACCAGACAUGGCAAGAGACCCGGAUUAUGGAGCUUUCAUGGACAAAUUUGUGCUUGAACCUACCUCUUCAGCUUAUGAUCAACCAUUGCAUGGCCUCACUUUUGCAGUUAAAGAUAUGUAAGUCCCUUCAAUUCACCUUUUUCUUUGCCUUCAUUUCCUAGACAAAGAUACUUUAAGUCUCUUACGUUUAUGAAAACUUCUUAGAAAAGAGUAAAGGAAAGGGGUGUCUUUUUUAUUAUUUUCAAGCUUCCUAGGCCAAGUUUCCAAUUCUUGGUUUUGGGUUUAUGUAUUUUGCAAGUGGGGGUGUUUGGGUGUUUGCAAACUUUUAUAUGGAUUGGUUCUUUUUUCUUGUAGUGAUUGAUGAAUUUGGUUUUUGUAAUUAUGGAAAUAGAUUUGAUGUGGAGGGAUAUGUGACUGGAUUUGGUAAUCCUGACUGGGCAAGGACUCAUUCUGCUGCUACCUCAACUGCUCCAGCUGUUUUGGCCGUCUUAAGAGGAGGAGCCACCUGUGUUGGUAAAACUGUCAUGGAUGAAAUGGCUUACAGGUGAGAAUGUGAAAGCCUUUUCCUUUUCCAAUUUUCUUAGACAAGAGCUCAUGCCAUCAUAAGAUAUGAUUAAACAGGAUUCAUUUGGUGAAUAUUGGAUUAUACCCCAAUAAAAUUACACAAGAUCAACAUGUAAAAAACUAGUUAUGGAGUUAAGUUCUAUAGAGAUUUCACGAUUUUUCGUAAGUCCUUGUUGGAAAAUAAUUUUGAAACUUGUGUUAGAACAUGAACUCAAUUUUUUACUGCAUUAGUGUUUUGAAGAUAAAUGACGGGGGUUUCAUACCUUUAAGUAAUUGAAGCGAAGUUGUGGGUUUAUUAAAAGUUGCAACGACUAUGAACAUAUACAGGGGAGAUCUUGUAAGGUUCUCAAUGUGAGUAAGAAGUGAAAAACACUCUGUAAACAUUCCUCUUCCAAUUAAUGCACUUUUGUGAUUAGUUUUUGUGUGUGUUUAUUCCAACUAAGUAGUAUUAGAGCAGAGAAUCUUGGAUGAAAUAAUAGGAAACUGAAUCAGAUUGCGACAUACAAAGGACUUCAAGCUCUCCAUCUAAGAGUUUGAAGGUGAAAUUUCUUCACUUUGUCAACACCUGUACAGGUGUUUUGAAGAAUGUCCCGAGCCUGCUUAGAAUUGGUUACAUUGGCAACCUUCUCAAACAUAGUAUCAUCCAAACCCUGGUGGAUGAAUGUAGGUCCCUGCUGGCCUUUCUUUCUUGAUCUCUGCUAGGUAUCCACAUCUUCUGGCUUUACAUAGCAUCUCUCCAUAAUUCCCAGCAUCUUGGAAUCCUGAUAGUGCUUUCAGACAUAGUCUAACAAAUUGAAAUGGAACUAAAACACUUGCCGUUUCAGAUUUACCAGGAACUACAAAGCUUUGAUACCACGUUGUUGGAAAUGAACGCACACUCGCUACUCACAAAACUGUAUUAAUUGGAAGAGGAACUUUUACAGAGCAUUUUUUUAGAGAGUGAAUACAAUAAUUGCAUUAAGCAUUUUUAAUCUUUAAAAUUCCAACACAAGGUAUGCCCUCAAGUUUUCAAUCAUAGAGUGAUGCAAUCUCAGGCCCAGUGAUUCUUGGAUUACAAUUUUAGUCUUAUUAUGCCAGUGGCCUCUAAAUUGCAUCUAUGUACACUGGUUGUUGUAAGAAAAAAUCAACUGUUUUAUAUGGACUACAACAUUCAUGUUGAACUUCACUGGUCUUUUGCUGAAAAUUUUACUAGCAGGCAAAAUUAGCUCUUUUGAUAUCUGUUAUUGUUACUCUUACUAUUUCUAAAACCUGAACUUUAUAGACAUAGUUGAAUUAUUCUUUUAGAUGUCAGUGUUCAUGUGAUAUCCCAGUUAUCACAGAUUAUCAGUUAGAUAAUUUGGCUAUCUAACUGGUGUAUUCUACCAUGCUAGUGCAGCAGUUAUUGACCAGUUAGUUCCUAGGUUAGUGAUAUUGGUGGCCUUGUGGUAACCACCAACAGAUGGCAUUGACAUGCCAGUCACGUUCAAUUUCAUAGUAAUUAAAACCAUCUGAAAAUGAAUCCUUGUAAUAGUUUUUGCUGCAUUUGAGCAUGCUCUUUCUUUGAAAUGAAUUUAUUUGCUCUGCUGGGUGAAAAUGCUUAGUAUAAUCAUUUAUAGAACUUACCAUCUUAUUGAAACCUGUGAUUCAUCUUAAUAGCACAUGUAAAUUUAAUUAUAAACAAAAGAGUUGAGAAUUCUAGUAGCCUCAUCUUUCGAGAGUCUUGCAGCACCUUUUAGAAGGUCAAACGUACUAUGAAACCUCACAUAACAUUCGUUACUUAUAAACCACUUUUUUUACUGAGGUUUAGUUGUUGUUGUUGUAUGAACUCCUUUUUAUGAGGCAGUAUAAAUGGAGAAAAUAUACAUUACGGCACACCUAUAAAUCCAUGUGCUCCGGAUGGUGUACCCGGAGGAUCUUCAAGUGGGUCUGCCGUUGCGGUUGGUGCAAAAAUUGUAGACUUCUCCUUAGGUAAAUACUCCAAUCUGAAUGAUUCUUGAUGUAUUUUGGUUUGUCGUAGGUAAAGUGAAGUAAAAUGUUCUCUCUACAACAGGAACAGACACUGGAGGAAGUGUAAGAGUCCCUGCAUCAUAUUGUGGAAUUUUGGGGUUUCGACCUUCUCACGAUGCGGUUCCGAGUGCAGGAGUUAUUCCCAUGGCACAGAGUUUUGAUACUGUGGGUAAGAAACUGGGUAGUGAAGGAUUCAUUUUGAAUUUGAUUGCAAACAAGUGAACCAAUAAACCAACCAGCAAGUAUACCUGUACGGUUUUCUCUGACAAAUGUGUUGCAAACUUUUUUGAGCUUCCAAUAUUCAUGACAACAUUCUAGACUUUUGAAUAAUGGGUUGCAUAAGACAACUAUGCAUUUUAAAUAAUAUGUUCCAUCUGAACGUUUUAAAUUUUUCUUGAUUAAUAAAAGUCUCAUCCCCAGCGAACUACUUCUUUCUAGUUUGUUUGAAGUUGCCCAUACAGUUCUUUUGUCCGCAUUUGUUUGUAAUAAACUCUUAUGAAACAUAAUCUCUUAGUUGUUUUAACAUUUUUAGAGCUUCAUAAUUUUCGUCAUCCUCUAUUCACUGUUUUGAUACUAAUUUUUCGACCAGGAUGGUUUGCCAGGGACCCUGUGAUUCUGAGUCGGGUAGGACAUAUUCUACUCCAAUCACCUGUUAUGGAUCCUUUCAAACCUAGUCAAGUUAUUAUUGCAGAAGAUUGUUUCCAGCUUUCAAACAUUCCAAAUGAUCGACUAGGUCAAGUUCUUGUGAAAUCAGUGGAGAAGAUAUAUGGAGGUCAGUUAAUCUGUAAUUAUGAUACCAUUACUACUGUUCAAGCCCGAAACCAGAAGUUUUGAAAGAACUGUUCUAAGUUCAAAAGCAUUUGAAGACUCAUUUUUAAGUUUUGAUUCAAAACAUGACUAAUAGAAUAUCACGUAAUAAAGAUUGGUUCUGAUUCAUUGCUUUUGGUGCCCAAGAGCAUUAUAGUAUUUGCAUCCGUUUGUUAUCAUUUGCUGAGAUAUCAUUUAUUAUUUUUGUUUACACAGGCCAUAUUGUGAAGCAUACAGUCCUCGGGGACUAUGUCAAGGAAAACGUUCCAAGUCUGAAACAUUUUAUGAGUAAAGAACUUAAAGAACAAGAGUAUAACAUUCCAUCUUUGGCAGCCCUCUCAAAUGCCAUGAGGUCACUUCAAAGGUGCAAAAAGUUCAACAGAGUUUUCUUGGAAUGGAUUUGGUCAAUCAACCUGAAUGAUACACUCUUUGGGGGAAGUGCCAUACGAAGUUGUUCCUAAUCAAUUCCGGACUCCUGAAUUUCAUUAUUAUUUGAUGUAUAGGUAUGAAUUCAAGGAUAACCAUGGUGAAUGGAUCACUUCAGUCAAACCUGAAUUAGGUCCAGGAAUAUCAGAAAGGGUAUGGGAAGCUGUUAGAACAACUGGGGAAAACGUUGAUGCCUGUCACUCUGUAAAGACGGAGUUACACGCUGCCCUUGCAACUCUUCUUCAGGUACCUCUCUCUCAAGUGACUACAAAACUUGGAUUUGUUUAGCCAAGGAAGAAAUAUUAUACUUACUCUAUUGUAGUCAACAUUUUAUUAGGCUACAAAUUAUGCUUCUGUUCACUUAUGAGUUCCUUCUACUCGCAGGAUUUUGGUAUCCUAGCUAUCCCUACUGUUCCAGGGCCUCCACCGAAACUGCAAGCAGAUCCAACAACACUGGAAAUCUUCCGUGCUAAGGCUUUUAGCUUGCUGUCCAUUGCUGGAGUAUCAGGAUUCUGCCAGGUCCUAUAUAUAGUAAUGAAAUUUUACCUGUUAUUGUUCUCUUUAGAACUUCUGGAUUAUUUCCUUAUGUGGGUUUCAUACCAAUAUACAGGUUAGCAUACCUCUAGGGAUGCAUGACAAUCUACCUGUAGCUGUUUCAUUGUUGGCAAAACAAGGUUCAGACGCUUUCCUGCUCAAUGUUGUCGAGAGUCUUUAUGGUACCCUCAAAGAACAGGUUGAGAUCACUGAAAAAUAACUUGCUGACUGAGAAUCUAAGAAUGUAAGCUUAAC
RNAcentral lists this long non-coding RNA (11783 nucleotides) under Populus tremula. Its description in RNAcentral is "long non-coding RNA (PTRE_LNC000865)". The stretch from base 2769 to 2886 matches the Rfam family "MIR480 microRNA precursor family". Lineage: Eukaryota; Viridiplantae; Streptophyta; Magnoliopsida; Malpighiales; Salicaceae. The record is from RNAcentral.